RNAcentral lists this ribosomal RNA (552 nucleotides) under Triticum aestivum (bread wheat). RNAcentral's name for it is "partial small subunit ribosomal RNA". The record is from RNAcentral. Lineage: Eukaryota; Viridiplantae; Streptophyta; Magnoliopsida; Poales; Poaceae.
AUGUUGAAGGAGAAGAAAGAGCGGGCAGAGAACCAGGAGAACAAAGCCUUGGAGGAGGCCGAGAAAACGGAAUUAGAAAGUAAAAAAAGCGGGAAACGAGUUGCCCAGCUCGGGGAACAAAGUAAACAAUCGAUUGCCCCGCUUAUAGUGAAAGCCGCCGGUCCGGAUGACCCCGAUAUCAUAGCAGCUGCGGCAGCACAUGGAUUGACUGUAACGAGUGCCAGAGAACAAGCGGCCAACUUAGGUAUUACUCUUCGUGAACUGUUAGGCCUUGAUGAGGCGUCAGUGAAGGAGGUAGUAAUUACAUAUGUGAAGAAUGGGCCUCUCGUCGAGCCUGCGCAGGAAGAGGAUCUACCUCCACAAAUGAAAGGUCUGCUGAAAUGGUACAAGGGUUACAUAAAAAAUAAAAACGCCAAAGAAUAUAUUUAUGCGGAAGUUAGAUAUGAGCAUCACUUCAAACAUUACUAUGUACAAAUUCAUCUGAGUGAAUUGUUCCAGCUUUUCAAUCUGCGCGAGCUCGACAAAUCUAUCAUCGGUUGCUACGUUCUGUAA